This 253-nucleotide ribosomal RNA is filed under the name uncultured bacterium. RNAcentral describes it as "partial 16S ribosomal RNA". It matches the Rfam family "Bacterial small subunit ribosomal RNA", at positions 524 to 776 of the family's 1533-position model. The record is from RNAcentral.
UACAGAGGUCUCAAGCGUUGUUCGGAUUCAUUGGGCGUAAAGGGUGCGCAGGCGGCGCGGUAAGUCGGGUGUGAAAUCUCGGAGCUUAACUCCGAAACUGCAUUCGAUACUGCGGUGCUUGAGGACUGGAGAGGAGACUGGAAUUCAUGGUGUAGCAGUGAAAUGCGUAGAGAUCAUGAGGAAGACCAGUGGCGAAGGCGGGUCUCUGGACAGUUCCUGACACUGAGACACGAAGGCCAGGGGAGCAAACGGG